AGUGAACGCUGGCGGUAGGCCUAACACAUGCAAGUCGAACGGCAGCACAGUAAGAGCUUGCUCUUACGGGUGGCGAGUGGCGGACGGGUGAGGAAUACAUCGGAAUCUACUUUUUCGUGGGGGAUAACGUAGGGAAACUUACGCUAAUACCGCAUACGACCUACGGGUGAAAGCAGGGGAUCUUCGGACCUUGCGCGAUUGAAUGAGCCGAUGUCGGAUUAGCUAGUUGGCGGGGUAAAGGCCCACCAAGGCGACGAUCCGUAGCUGGUCUGAGAGGAUGAUAAGCCACACUGGAACUGGGACACGGUCCAGACUCCUACGGGAGGCAGCAGUGGGGAAUAUUGGACAAUGGGCGCAAGCCUGAUCCAGCCAUACCGCGUGGGUGAAGAAGGCCUUCGGGUUGUAAAGCCCUUUUGUUGGGAAAGAAAAGCAGCAGGUUAAUACCCCGCUGUUCUGACGGUACCCAAAGAAUAAGCACCGGCUAACUUCGUG
This 492-nucleotide ribosomal RNA is filed under the name uncultured bacterium. RNAcentral's name for it is "partial 16S ribosomal RNA". It matches the Rfam family "Bacterial small subunit ribosomal RNA", at positions 29 to 507 of the family's 1533-position model. The record is from RNAcentral.